RNAcentral lists this ribosomal RNA (274 nucleotides) under uncultured bacterium. Its description in RNAcentral is "partial 16S ribosomal RNA". It matches the Rfam family "Bacterial small subunit ribosomal RNA", at positions 523 to 796 of the family's 1533-position model. The record is from RNAcentral.
AUACGAAGGGCCCGAGCGUUACGCGAAAUCGCUGGGCUUAAAGGGUGCGUAGGCGGGCCCGUCAGUGUCUUGUGAAAUCCCACGGCUCAACCGUGGAACUGCUUGGCAUACUGCGGGCCUUGAGGUCGAAAGAGGUCGCCGGAACUCUAGGUGUAGCGGUGAAAUGCGUAGAUAUCUAGAGGAACGCCCAAGGCGAAGGCAGGCGACUGGGUCGAUUCUGACGCUGAGGCACGAAAGUAUGGGUAGCGAACGGGAUUAGAUACCCCAGUAGUCC